GUGUCAGCAGCCGCGGUAAUACGUAGGAUCCUAGCGUUGUCCGGAUUUACUGGGUGUAAAGGGUGCGCAGGCGGACUUGUAAGUCAGGGGUGAAAUCUCGGCGCUUAACGCCGAAACUGCCUUUGAUACUAUAAGUCUUGAGUUUGGUAGAGAUCCGUGGAAUUCCGAGUGUAGCAGUGAAAUGUGUAGAUAUUCGGAAGAACACCAGCGGCGAAGGCAGCGGAUUGGGCCAAUACUGACGCUCAGGCACGAAAGCAUGGGGAUCAAACAGGAUUAGAUACCCUGGUAGUCC
This 292-nucleotide ribosomal RNA is filed under the name uncultured bacterium. Its description in RNAcentral is "partial 16S ribosomal RNA". It matches the Rfam family "Bacterial small subunit ribosomal RNA", at positions 505 to 796 of the family's 1533-position model. The record is from RNAcentral.